Coffea arabica (coffee) is the source of this 988-nucleotide non-coding RNA. The record is from RefSeq and is a predicted model, not a curated record. NCBI's taxonomy places the organism in Eukaryota, Viridiplantae, Streptophyta, Magnoliopsida, Gentianales, Rubiaceae.
UUAUUUAAGAAAAAAAUAGAAGGUACUCAUCUGUAAAAUGCCCCAAACUAGGCCUAAACUUGAAAUCUUGAAAAACCAAGGUACUACCAGUAAUUUGCUCGUGAUCGAUAAGCCAUCAAUUUCUCUCUCCAUGUACGAGUUCGUAAAUUUCAGUCCUGCUCUGAAGUUAACUUGUAUUUAAAAAAUGGCGUCAAGAGGGUUACUUUCAAGGGCGAGCAGAAUCAAAUCGAAGCUUCAAUCGGCGCUGGAAGCAACCGUCGUUGAGGUGGAAGACGUUUCAUACCAGCACGCCGGCCACGCAGCCGUCAAAGACAGCGGCGCAAGCGAGACCCAUUUCAAUGUCAAAAUCGUUUCUAGCAAAUUUGACGGCCAGAACCUAGUCAAACGACACCGUAUGGUCUAUGAUCUCUUAUCCGACGAGCUUCAGUCUGGUUUGCAUGCUCUCUCUAUCAAGGCAAAUACUCCCAGAGAAGCUGGUCUGAGCAAUUGAUCAUUCAGCAGCUUCUGAAUAAAGGAAGUAUCAGUACUGGGGAUUGUAUGCAAUGCGGUUGGAUUUAGAACUAACGGCAGCUACCACCUUUUCUGUUUGAACGUUGAGAACUUGGUUUAAUUCCUUAUAUUCAGUUUUAUUGAAUAUUCCCUCCCUGUAGUCCUCCUCCUCUUCCCAAGUGCAUCAAUUUCCACGAUGAACUGGACAGAAGAAUUACACAAACUCAACAUAGUGUUCUACAGGCUUAAACUGAAUUUGUGAUUAACUUUGAAAAUUUGGCAGACAGAAACUUUUCUUCAUGUGAUAAUUGAUCAGCAUAUUUUGGUGCCAGAUGAUGGAUAUACCCUGUUGGCUCGCUUAGUUCUUUCCUUCCAUUUUUUCUAUUUGGCAUACCACAAAUUAUAACUGAACUAGAAUAGAGAUUUUUUGUCAGGGAAAGUAUAUGUAACCGAAUGAGCCUAAAGGGCUUGUUUAUGCUAUAUCCAUAGCUGUUUUACA